Molecule: long non-coding RNA, 489 nt
Organism: Cyprinodon tularosa
Lineage: Eukaryota; Metazoa; Chordata; Actinopteri; Cyprinodontiformes; Cyprinodontidae
Exons: 2
Source: RefSeq, a predicted model, not a curated record
UCUCAACCUAAACUUUAAAUCACUAUGUAUUUUAAGUGUCACACUUUCUACGGUGUCACUUUAAAAUAAAUUAUGACUCAAGUCACCUCAAACCAUGCAAACUUUAUUUUUUGUGACUGACCUGCAGGGAAAAGAAAAAGGAGUGCACAUACAGUGUAUGAAGUCCCUCAGGAAAAUCCACAAACAAAUCCCUAUGAAUCUCCUGCAGAGGUUACAACACCUUCUUCUCCAACAUCAACUUAUGCAUUGGUGCAGUUUUCCCAUCAUCUUGACCAGCCCAAUGAUACUGCAACCGGCCCAAACCAACUGCCUGAAACAAUUUAUGCACAGGUUAACAGAGCUGAUAAGAACAAAUCCAAACCUGCGACAUCCAACAGAUGACAAAGGAACAACAUUUACUGUAAAUAUGGAAAUGUAUGUUAUUGCAAAGGUUUCUUGUGCUCCUGCCAAAUUAAAAUGUCAGCAAGUUUAUAUAUUUUUGUAUUCUCU